RNAcentral lists this unclassified non-coding RNA (607 nucleotides) under Hevea brasiliensis (rubber tree). Lineage: Eukaryota; Viridiplantae; Streptophyta; Magnoliopsida; Malpighiales; Euphorbiaceae. The record is from RNAcentral.
UAUAAGCCCUAUAUAAAAUCUGGACCACAAUUCUUAGUUUCUUAAUUCUUUAAGCUUUGUUUUUCUUAAUUUCGUUGUUGUCCAUGUCUCAAUGGGUCAUGGUAGAUUUGGUUGAGGACCUGUAAACUUCCAUCUGAAUGAAAUAUAAACCUCAUCCUUUCCAUCUAGUCCAUUUUAUCCCUUAAUAGUGUCCUUGUUAUUUGAAAUGUGAAAUUUGUUUAGAAGUUAAUUUAAUAAUUAAUGAACUAACAUAACACAUAACACAUGGAAAAGCAUGCCCAUUUGUGUUUCUGUGAAUUUUUUUGUCCAACAGUUAGUCGGGCAGCAAGACUAUGCACUUUCACAUAUGUGUGUGGGUUGUGCAUUAGUGGGUAACAUGCAUACAUUGAUAGAUAGUGCGCAUAUGUCUGUUUUUUGAUACCCCAUUUCUCACAUGCAUUCUGUAAAUAUACUGGUCAUGGUGUUCUGUCCCUCUGGAAGCUCAUGCCUAGACAGUGUCCUGCUAGUUUUUAGGCUAGAUAUUGACAAUAAUGUGUAUAUGCCAGUUAUUAUGCUUGCUGUUAAUUGUAAUUACUUUCAACUGAUUUGAGCUACUCAUUGUUGUGUG